Molecule: ribosomal RNA, 1262 nt
Filed under: uncultured methanogenic archaeon
Lineage: Archaea; Methanobacteriati; Methanobacteriota
Description: bacterial SSU rRNA
Rfam family: Archaeal small subunit ribosomal RNA
Source: RNAcentral
GCUCAGUAACACGUGGAUAACCUACCCUUAGGACUGGGAUAACCCUGGGAAACUGGGGAUAAUACUAGAUAGGCAAUUUUUCCUGGAAUGGUUUUUUGUUUAAAUGUUUUUUCGCCUAAGGAUGGGUCUGCGGCCGAUUAGGUAGUUGGUUAGGUAACGGCUUACCAAGCCAUUGAUCGGUACGGGUUGUGAGAGCAAGAGCCCGGAGAUGGAACCUGAGACAAGGUUCCAGGCCCUACGGGGUGCAGCAGGCGCGAAACCUCCGCAAUGUGAGAAAUCGCGACGGGGGGAUCCCAAGUGCCAUUCUUAACGGGAUGGCUUUUCAUUAGUGUAAAGAGCUUUUGGAAUAAGGGCUGGGCAAGACCGGUGCCAGCCGCCGCGGUAACACCGGCAGCUCUAGUGGUAGCAGUUUUUAUUGGGCCUAAAGCGUCCGUAACCGGUUUAAUAAGUCUCUGGUGAAAUCCUGUAGCUUAACUGUGGGAAUUGCUGGAGAUACUAUUAGACUUGAGACCGGGAGAGGUUAGAGGUACUCCCAGGGUAGAGGUGAAAUUCUGUAAUCCUGGGAGGACCGCCUGUUGCGAAGGCGUCUAACUGGAACGGUUCUGACGGUGAGGGACGAAAGUUAGGGGCGCGAACCGGAUUAGAUACCCGGGUAGUCCUAACUGUAAACGAUGCGGACUUGGUGUUGGGGUGGCUUUGAGCUGUUCCAGUGCCGAAGGGAAGCUGUUAAGUCCGCCGCCUGGGAAGUACGGUCGCAAGACUGGAACUUAAAGGAAUUGGCGGGGGAGCACCACAACGCGUGGAGCCUGCGGUUUAAUUGGAUUCAACGCCGGACAUCUCACCAGAGGCGACAGCUGUAUGAUAGCCAGGUUGAUGACUUUGCUUGACUAGCUGAGAGGAGGUGCAUGGCCGCCGUCAGCUCGUACCGUGAGGCGUCCUGUUAAGUCAGGCAACGAGCGAGACCCACGCCCUUAGUUACCAGCUUAUCCUUUUUUGGAUGAUGGGCACACUAAGGGGACCGCCUAUGAUAAAUAGGAGGAAGGAGUGGACGACGGUAGGUCCGUAUGCCCCGAAUCCUCUGGGCAACACGCGGGCUACAAUGGCUGAGACAAUGGGUUCCGACACCGAAAGGUGGAGGUAAUCCUCUAAACUUAGUCGUAGUUCGGAUUGAGGACUGUAACUCGUUCUCAUGAAGCUGGAAUGCGUAGUAAUCGCGUAUCACUAUUGCGCGGUGAAUACGUCCCUGCUCCUUGCACACACCG